Molecule: ribosomal RNA, 448 nt
Filed under: uncultured bacterium
Lineage: Bacteria
Description: bacterial SSU rRNA
Rfam family: Bacterial small subunit ribosomal RNA
Source: RNAcentral
UCGGGAAUUUUGGGCAAUGGGCGAAAGCCUGACCCAGCAACGCCGCGUGAAGGAUGAAGUAUUUCGGUAUGUAAACUUCGUAAGAAUAGGAAGAAUAAAUGACGGUACUAUUUGUAAGGUCCGGCUAACUCUGUGCCAGCAGCCGCGGUAAUACAGAGGGUGCAAGCGUUAAUCGGAAUUACUGGGCGUAAAGCGCGCGUAGGUGGUUAGUUAAGUCGGAUGUGAAAGCCCCGGGCUCAACCUGGGAACGGCAUCCGAUACUGGUGGGCUAGAGUGCGGUAGAGGAGAGCGGAAUUCCCGGUGUAGCGGUGAAAUGCGUAGAGAUCGGGAGGAACAUCCGUGGCGAAGGCGGCUCUCUGGACCAGGCACUGACGUUGAGGCACGAAAGCGUGGGGAGCAAACAGGAUUAGAUACCCAAGUAGUCCCUGAGCGGGCUGGCAAGGCGCAU